This 468-nucleotide ribosomal RNA is filed under the name uncultured bacterium. Its description in RNAcentral is "partial 16S ribosomal RNA". It matches the Rfam family "Bacterial small subunit ribosomal RNA", at positions 28 to 507 of the family's 1533-position model. The record is from RNAcentral.
GACGAACGCUGGCGGCAUGCUUAACACAUGCAAGUCGAGCGGAAGGGCCCUGCUUUUGUGGGGUGCUCGAGUGGCGAAGGGGUGAGAAACAUAUGAGUAACCUGCCCUUGACUUUGGGAUAACUUCAGGAAACUGGUGCUAAUACCGGAUAGGAGCUCCUGCUGCAUGGUGGGGGUUGGAAAGUUUCGGCGGUUGGGGAUGGACUCGCGGCUUAUCAGCUUGUUGGUGGGGUAGUGGCUUACCAAGGCUUUGACGGGUAGCCGGCCUGAGAGGGUGACCGGCCACAUUGGGACUGAGAUACGGCCCAGACUCAUACGGGAGGCAGCAGUGGGGAAUAUUGCACAAUGGGCGGAAGCCUGAUGCAGCAACGCCGCGUGCGGGAUGACGGCCUUCGGGUUGUAAACCGCUGUCGCCUGUGACGAAGCGUGAGUGACGGUAAUGGGUAAAGAAGCACCGGCUAACUACGUG